RNAcentral lists this ribosomal RNA (621 nucleotides) under Russula sp. CUH AM113. RNAcentral's name for it is "eukaryotic LSU rRNA". It matches the Rfam family "Eukaryotic large subunit ribosomal RNA", at positions 45 to 638 of the family's 3401-position model. Lineage: Eukaryota; Fungi; Basidiomycota; Agaricomycetes; Russulales; Russulaceae. The record is from RNAcentral.
AAUAAGCGGAGGAAAAGAAACUAACAAGGAUUCCCCUAGUAACUGCGAGUGAAGCGGGAAAAGCUCAAAUUUAAAAUCUGGUGGUCUUUGGCCAUCCGAGUUGUAAUUUAGAGAAGCGUUUUCUGCGCUGGGCCAUGCACAAGUCUCCUGGAAUGGAGCGUCAUAGAGGGUGAGAAUCCCGUCUUUGGCAUGGAUAUAACCAGGGCUUUUGUGAUGCGCUCUCAAAGAGUCGAGUUGUUUGGGAAUGCAGCUCAAAAUGGGUGGUGAACUCCAUCUAAAGCUAAAUAUUGGCGAGAGACCGAUAGCGAACAAGUACCGUGAGGGAAAGAUGAAAAGCACUUUGGAAAGAGAGUGAAACAGUACGUGAAAUUGUUGAAAGGGAAACGCUUAAAGUCAGUCGCGUUGUCCAAGACUCAGCCUUGCCUUGGCUUGGUGUAUUUCUUGGUCGACGGGUCAGCAUCGAUUUUGACCCUUGGAUAAUGGUGAGGGAAAUGUGACACCUUUUAGGUGUGUUAUAGUCUCUUGUCACAUGUGAGGGUUAGGAUCGAGGAACUCAGCAUGCACUUUUUGGGUGUCGGGACUUUUGUCCACGAUACAUGCUUAGGAUGUUGGCGUAAUGGC